GUGAAUGUGUCAAUAAAAACUGUCAUUAUCUGAAAAUAACUUUUUCUUUUCCUAAAAUCCUAAAUAAAAGAGAUUUCUAAAAAAAAAAGUAUUUUCUAAUCGUAACCAAGUAAGAUUUUUUUUUCUUUUUUUUCUAAAUCCUGACGAGAGAGAAUGUAAAUUUUUAUUUAAUAAUAUUUUUUACUUAAAAAUUAAUGAUAAACCUGUUAGUACAAUUAUUUAAUUAACAAGAAAAAUUGUAAAAAUAUUAGUGAUAUUGAAAACAACAAAUUUUGAAAAUGCAACUUUUAAAAAUAGUUAAUAUUAAGUGGUAAUAAUUAUUUGAUAAAACUUUUAUUUUUCUA
Molecule: long non-coding RNA, 344 nt
Filed under: Brassica rapa (field mustard)
Lineage: Eukaryota; Viridiplantae; Streptophyta; Magnoliopsida; Brassicales; Brassicaceae
Description: long non-coding RNA (BRAP_LNC000740)
Source: RNAcentral